RNAcentral lists this transfer RNA (73 nucleotides) under Listeria monocytogenes. Its description in RNAcentral is "tRNA-Ala". It matches the Rfam family "tRNA". From Rfam's summary of the family: Transfer RNA (tRNA) molecules are approximately 80 nucleotides in length. Lineage: Bacteria; Bacillati; Bacillota; Bacilli; Caryophanales; Listeriaceae. The record is from RNAcentral.
GGGGCCUUAGCUCAGCUGGGAGAGCGCCUGCUUUGCACGCAGGAGGUCAGCGGUUCGAACCAGCUAGGCUCCA